AAGUCAUUUUAAUAAGGUGGCAGAGUGUCCAGUCACCAGAAUAUUCUCAGUCUGGAAAAUAUUCAUGAUUAAAUAACGCAGUGCUGCAGCAACAAUUGAUGUACUCUGGAUGAAAGAAAGGUACAACACUACUAAUUUGCUGCCAGGCUUGGAAUCAGCUGCUAGACACUCAAGGACUAUGUCACUGAUGAGACUCAUCAGAUAACUCUGUUAAAAAUUAAGUUGGGAAGCUACAAACUGGCUGAAUGCUGUUAAAACACAAUACAAUUUUAUAACAUUUAAUGUGUUAAUACUAUGACACAACAGUACUUUUAGUAAAGUUUAAUACAUUGUAAAAAUCUUACACCAACCUGGGUAGUACAGUAAGCCCUUAUAGUUUAAAACAUUUAUUGCAUUAUAAUUACAUUAUUUAAAAUGUCUUUGUUAGAACAACUUGACAUUAACAUAGAGAAAAUUUUUAUUUUUUACGACAACCUGAAAUUAACCAAAACUCAUCAUCUGUUAUAACAAUCACAUUUAAUAAUAAUAAUGUAAGCCAAACAUUGAUGCAUUUUUUUGUUCCCAACACUGCAUAAUUACAAUAUUAAUGUAAAAGCAAAAGAUAAUAAAGGAAUAGAUUAUGCAAUCAUUUGUAAAACAUUUAGCAUGAUUACUGUGAUUAAAAUUAUAGUGAUACUGCAUGCAAAAUAUCCCUACGAAAAUACAUUUUAGUUCCAUUUUAUAGAA
Molecule: long non-coding RNA, 726 nt
Organism: Poecilia latipinna (sailfin molly)
Lineage: Eukaryota; Metazoa; Chordata; Actinopteri; Cyprinodontiformes; Poeciliidae
Exons: 2
Source: RefSeq, a predicted model, not a curated record